Long non-coding RNA from Mastomys coucha (southern multimammate mouse), 1220 nucleotides. RefSeq lists it as uncharacterized. The transcript has 3 exons. Lineage: Eukaryota; Metazoa; Chordata; Mammalia; Rodentia; Muridae. The record is from RefSeq and is a predicted model, not a curated record.
UUUUGAUCUCUUGAGAGGGUAUAUGUACUCAAGGAAUAUCUAAAAAGACCUUGGAACUGGAGUUUCUGACAGCUGUGAGCUGCCAUGAGGGUGCUGAGAAUUGAACCCAGGAACUCUGAAACAGAAGCAGAUUCAUUUGCAGCUUCUACCAUGGAAAGAUCAGAAUUGUGACACCCUCCUACCUACAGGAGUUCUGGAAGCCUGGAGUUUCUGUCACUUGCUAACCACACAAGGAUGACAACAGAGGCAGCACUCAGCUCCCACACUGUACAGUCUGUUUCACCCACUGGACACCUGAGGUCCAAGGCUAUAAGUCUGGAAAAACUACCUUGUCCUAUCGCUAUGUAGCUGAUGGAAAUGGAAACUCAGUUGUGUAAAGAUACUUGUGUCUCUGAGCCUCAUGCUUUCUGAUUCCUAACGUGGAUGCAGGAGGAAAGACGUGGUGACCUAAAAGACACUAAGUUCUUAGGCAUUAAGUGGUCACCACAAUAUGAUGCAGGCUCCGAAGAAGUUAUGUACACAGGAACUGGUGGUAGCCUCCAAAGACACAAGGCCCAAAGGCAGAAGACAGGAGGAGAGAGACCACAAGCCAGUGAUAUGCUGAUGACCAAGUCAUCACUGUGUGUUUCUCGUCCAAGACAAUAUGGAGCAAACACAACAAUCCUUGUCCAGGAGAACAAAGACAAUGAUGAUGAAAUCAAGGCUCAAAGAAAGGCUAAGAUACUUGCCUAAGAUCUGCUCUCUUUGAGCAGUCAAGGCCACACUACCCACAGUGUGCCAGGUCAUUGUCCAAACACCUGGUGGUUUCAGUUAUAAAAUGCAUGUAAGGCACACCUCUAGCAAGAGGAAUAACCCACCAAUAAUGUUUGCUUUUUGUCCCAGAGGAAUUAACCCCAAGGCUAAAUAUUCCUCUCCCAGAGUAGACUGACGGUAACAACUUUACCUCUCCUUUAUUCCAUCAUGGGAGAUAAACUGGGUCAGAGUUGUCCUGAGCAGUACUGGAACAUGAACAACCAGGGAGGAGAAAGAGGAGGAGGAGGAGGAAGAGGAAGAAAAGGAGGACGAGAAGUUGAUCUGCUCUGAAACUCCCUUAGAAAUUUCCAGAGUUCCCUGCCCUUGUGAAAUACUAUUUCAAUACUCCAUUGUCCUGAAACAUAGAGAAAAUACUUAUCAAGAGAACAAAAGUAAAAAGCUGGACCUGCAAUGGUGUGCUUCGCCCU